This 560-nucleotide ribosomal RNA is filed under the name uncultured bacterium. RNAcentral describes it as "bacterial SSU rRNA". It matches the Rfam family "Bacterial small subunit ribosomal RNA", at positions 232 to 784 of the family's 1533-position model. The record is from RNAcentral.
CGCGGCCUAUCAGCUUGUUGGUGGGGUAAUGGCCUACCAAGGCAACGACGGGUAGCCGGCCUGAGAGGGGACCGGCCACACUGGGACUGAGACACUGCCCAGACUCCUACGGGAGGCUGCAGUCGAGAAUCUUCCGCAAUGGGGGAAACCCUGACGGAGCGACGCCGCGUGCGGGAUGGAGGCCUUCGGGUUGUAAACCGCUGUCACAGGUUAGGAAAGGGCUAGGCGUCAAUAGCGCCAAGUCUUGACAAAGGCCUGAGAGGAAGCCACGGCUAAUCACGUGCCAGCAGCCGCGGUAAUACGUGAGUGGCGAGCGUUAUCCGGAAUCACUGGGCGUAAAGCGUCCGCAGGGGGUUUGAUAAGUGCGAUGUUAAAUCUACAGGCUCAACCUGUAGGCUGCGUUGUAUACUGUCAAACUAGAGGUAUGCAGAGGUGAAUGGAAUUCCUGGAGUAGGGGUAAUAUCCGUAGAUACCAGGAGGAACACCAAUAGCGAAGGCAAUUCACUGGGCAUUACCUGACCCUCAGGGACGAAAGCGUGGGGAGCAAACCGGAUUAGAUA